UGAAUACGAGAUGCUACGGCGUCGAAGCAGUCUAUGUCAUACUUCCAAGAAAAGCUUGCACUGUCAUAAACAAAUAAUGCCUGUACCAUAACCGACACAGGUGGGUAGGUAGAGUAUACUAAGGGGCGCGAGAUAACUCUCUCUAAGGAACUCGGCAAAAUGACUCCGUAACUUCGGGAGAAGGAGUGCCUUAUUUAUAAGGUUGCAAUAACAAGAUCCAAGCAACUGUUUACCAAAAACACAGGUCUCCGCUAAGUCGUAAGACGAUGUAUGGGGGCUGACGCCUGCCCAGUGCCAGAAGGUUAAAGAAGUUGGUUAGCAUCCGCGAAGCUGAUAACUGAAGCCCUGGUGAACGGCGGCCGUAACGAUAACGGUCCUAAGGUAGCGAAAUUCCUUGUCGGGUAAGUUCCGACCCGCACGAAAGGCGUAAUGAUUUGGAUACUGUCUCGGAGAGGGGCUCGGUGAAAUAGACUUGUCUGUGAAGAUGCGGACUACCUGCACCAGGACAGAAAGACCCUAUGAAGCUUUACUGUAACCUGAAAUUGAAAUUGGACUUUACUUGCGCAGUAUAGGUGGGAGGCGUUGAGAAUAUUCUUGCGGGAUUAUUGGAGCCAUCAGUGAGAUACCACUCUUGUAAUGUUAGAUUUCUAACUUUGUAUCAUUAUCUGGUCAAAGAACAGUUUCAGGCGGGCAGUUUGACUGGGGCGGUCGCCUCCUAAACGGUAACGGAGGCGCACAAAGGUUUCCUCUGAACGGGUAGAAAUCGUAUCUAGAGUGUAAAGGCAUAAGGAAGCUUGACUGUGAGACCUACAAGUCGAGCAGGGACGAAAGUCGGUCUUAGUGAUCUGACGGUGCUGAGUGGAAAGGCCGUCACUCAACGGAUAAAAGAUACUCUAAGGAUAACAGGCUGAUCUCCCCCAAGAGUUCACAUCGACGGGGAGGUUUGGCACCUCGAUGUCGGCUCAUCGCAUCCUGGGGCGGUAGUACGUCCCAAGGGUUGGGCUGUUCGCCCAUGAAAGCGGUACGCGAGCUGGGUUCAGAACGUCGUGAGACAGUUCGGUCCAUAUCCGGUGUAGGCGUUAGAAUAUUGAGAGGAGCCUUCUUUAGUACGAGAGGACCGAGAAGGACAUACCUCUGGUGUACCAGUUAUCGUGCCAACGGUAAACGCUGGGUAGCUAUGUGUGGAGUGGAUAACCGCUGAGAGCAUCUAAGUGGGAAGCCCACCUCAAGAUAAG
Molecule: ribosomal RNA, 1235 nt
Filed under: metagenome
Description: bacterial LSU rRNA
Rfam family: Bacterial large subunit ribosomal RNA
Source: RNAcentral